Molecule: non-coding RNA, 505 nt
Organism: Microcebus murinus (gray mouse lemur)
Lineage: Eukaryota; Metazoa; Chordata; Mammalia; Primates; Cheirogaleidae
Source: RefSeq, a predicted model, not a curated record
GUCCUCUCAGUUACUCAUUCAAACACUAAUCUAGGUGGUGUUGUGUGAGCAUUUUGUCGAUGCAAUUAAUCAGUUGGCAGAAGUAAAGGAGAUUGUCCUAGGUAAGGUGGGUCAGCUUGAUCCAACUGAUACAAGGCUUUAGGAGAAGAAAUGUGAUUUUUCUGAAGAAGAAGAAGAAAUUUUACUGCGGACUGAAGACUCAGUUCCUGCCUGUGUUUCUAGCCUGCCCUUCCUGAUGGGCUAACCUAUGGAUUUGUCAUCUAUAUACAUAUAUGGCUCCCACAGCACCCACAGGAAGAGCACGCUCAGCUCUUGGCAGGACUUCGUGAGCCCAGAAGUAUGAAGAGAACAGGAAGAUCUAUUUUCCCAUUAAAUAAAUGUCAGUCAACUCUACUAACAGUGCUACUCAAAUGUGCUCUGAAGUUGAGCCUGCCCCUGAAAUUUGUGUAUUUCAGCUCAGCAACAAGAGAAAUACAGACAUUGAGAGAGAAGCAUAAACAUUAAG